Non-coding RNA from Triticum aestivum (bread wheat), 115 nucleotides. NCBI's taxonomy places the organism in Eukaryota, Viridiplantae, Streptophyta, Magnoliopsida, Poales, Poaceae. The record is from Rfam.
CAAAUACUCCCUCCGUUCGGAAUUACUUGUCUCGGAAAUGGAUGUAUUUAGAACUAAAAUACAUCUAGAUACAUCCAUUUCUGGGACAAGGAAAUCCGAACGGAGGGAGUAGUAA